This 507-nucleotide ribosomal RNA is filed under the name Gastrocotyle trachuri. RNAcentral's name for it is "partial 28S ribosomal RNA". Lineage: Eukaryota; Metazoa; Platyhelminthes; Monogenea; Mazocraeidea; Gastrocotylidae. The record is from RNAcentral.
CCGCUCAGAGGCAAACGGGUGUAGUCAAGCCUUCGAGUUGUGGCAAAUAGGCGGACCAGAAUGGCGUGAGCUUGAGCACAUAUGAGCUGGUUGUAGGUGCGUCGAAAGGCGUAUUCGGCCCGCAAGGGUUGGAUGUGUGGAGUGUCAUACGAUGCCGCAUGCCUAUAAUUAGUGUGUUCUGCUGGUUCGAUGAUUUUGCCAUAGCGUAUGUCACGACCGUCGCAGCUGUCGGUCUGCUUCGUCUAAACCGUAGCGUGAGUUGCCUUGUGUAUCUUGCGUUGCGGGGGCAGGUAGCUAGCUUGGUUUCGGCCGGGUUAGUGUAAUCGCCGGGCGGAGUGGUAUCUGUGCAGUACGGCGGGGAUGGCGGUGCGUGGUCCUGGGCGUGCUAAAGUAUAUUGGCAUGGCUUGAGUCCGAUUCCAUGUUGCUAUCAAUGAUGGCCUUGGAGUGGCUCUGCUGUGGUUGAUGUGCGGCAGCGGCCGGGGCACCUUGCGCGUUGAGCCUAUAGU